AUUGAACGCUGGCGGCAGGCCUAACACAUGCAAGUCGAACGAGUGGCGGACGGGUGAGUAAUGUCUGGGAAACUGCCCGAUGGAGGGGGGUAACUACUGGAAACGGUAGCUAAUACCGCAUACCAUCGGAUGUGCCCCGAUGGGAUUAGCUAGUAGGUGGGGUAACGGCUCACCGAGGCGACGAUCCCUAGCUGGUCUGAGAGGAGGACCAGCCACACUGGAACUGAGACACGGGGCAGACUCCUACGGGAGGCAGAAGUGGGGAAUAUUGCACAAUGGGCGCAAGCCUGAGGCAGCCAUGCCGCGUGGAUGAAGAAGGCCUUCGGGUUGGAAAGUAAUUUCAGCGAGGAGGCGUUACUCGCAGAAGAAGCACCGGCUAACUCCGUGCCAGCAGCCGCGGUAAUAC
Molecule: ribosomal RNA, 406 nt
Filed under: uncultured bacterium
Lineage: Bacteria
Description: partial 16S ribosomal RNA
Rfam family: Bacterial small subunit ribosomal RNA
Source: RNAcentral